GAGGCAGCAGGAGGUCCAGGGAGGGAGGAUCAGGAGUAAAGGUGCAUGCCCAGAGGGGCUCACGGGCCCUCCCACCCUCUGUCCCUGCGCUGCCUGGGAGCAGAGCAAGUCCUGCGUGGGAGGAUGCUGUAACCAGCAGUGCAGUCCGCGCCCUGCCGGGAGAAGAAGGAAGACAAAGGUGGCUCUCCCUGCCCACAGAGGCAAACUCAAGAGCCCUUGAUGUGGAGCCUCGCUUCUCAAAGUGUGGCUCUUGGACCACAGCAGCAGCAGCAUUACCUAGAAGCUUGUCAGAAAUGCAGAAUCCCAGGCUCUCGACCCACCCAGACCGACUGCAUCAAAGCCUGAACAUUAACAAGAUUCCCGGGAGACUCAUAUGCACAUUGCAGUUGGAGACGCAGUUGGAGAACUGAGCUGAAGCAGGGUUCCUCUGCCCUGCCGGCUGCUUGUUCUCUCCUUGUCCCUCCUCCCACAGCCUCCGGAAACCCCAUCUGGGGAGCUGUUCUGCAAAGCUGCACCUUAUCCACCUCCUGGAGCAAAACACGAGCUACCUGCCGGGGACUGUUCAGAGUGCUUCCUGCGAAGUCUCCCACUCAGAAGUCACAGCGAUCCUAGGAGGUAGAUCUAUUCCUGUGCCCGUUUUACAGACAAGGAAACUGAGGCAGAGUUUUGGUAACCGGACUUGCCUUUGGAACCCAGCCGCCAUGCUGUGAGGAAGCCCAGGAUAACCCACGUGGUGAGGCCAUGCAGACAGGUUGUGCAUGGGGUUCUAGCCAAGAGCCUGGCUGAGAUCUCAGCCAACAGUCAGCUGUGCUGUGUGCUCCUGGGUGGCAGGCCACAGGUCCUGUUUCUCCCAGGCAUCUUCAUCUCCUGUCCUGGCCAACCUGGAAGUGCUUAGAGAGGGCUUGUUUGACCGACUGGAGGGUGUGGAGGAUGGACACUAAUCCUGGGAGCCAGGGAUCCAUCCCUCGAGCUUGGAUCCUACCUCCCUGCCCACAUUCCCUGAGCUCUCAUUAUAGGGAAUCACUGUUGGCCCGAUGUGGACUGUGAAUGACCUGGGCCUCCAGACCUCAGUUUCGCCACCUGUGAAAUAAAAAUGUUGGAUGAGGAUGAAGGGGCUCCUUCAGCUUUUUUGCUCAGGGAUUCCCCAAGAGGGGUAGAGAAUGAGGCUCAGAGAAGCUGUGUGACUUGUCCAAAGCCACACAGCCAUGAAGAAGCAGUACCAAAAAUUAGAACUCAAGACUGCCUGAGAUCUUGCAGCCUCACGUUCCUGAGACUUCCAGGCAGGGCAGGCCCAGAACGGUGGCACCGAUACCACUGCAGAAAGAGUCCAUCUCAGCACUGCCAGUGAUUUGAUGGCAGAAGAUUUUGGAUGCGGCCUCUUUGGACUCUGCACCCCAGCUCAGGUCAGAGCAGACUCCCAGACCCCAGGGAUGAGCUCUAGAAGCACGGGAAGAUCCCAGAGAGGACACUGGGCUGGGCCCUGAGACUGCCCUGUGGGUGGGCUGGAAAUUCCUCUCACUCUCAGCUCUGGCGGGCCAGGGACAGGCCAAGAGGAGUGGCUGAGUGACAUUUCCUCUGCAAUGAUGUCCCCAAUCAGUGGUCACUACAGUCCCACUCAGGACCCUGUACCCCCACAUGCAGGCACAGAGCACAGCCCCGCUCCUGGCAACCUGGACCCUAUGAGAGUGCAUGUGGUCACAUGGGCAGCCCCCAGCCCUGCAGCCACACACACAGUCAUGUUCACAGGCUCACGUCUGCACGCUCACCACGUGUGACAAUACACAGAUGGCUCCCUAGGAAGGACAACACGCGGCCCCUGCGCAUCUGUCCAGGCUCAGCCCUGAUUCCUGAGACUGCCUGGGCAUUGCUCCCUGGAUACGCAGAGGGCCCCGGCCCCCCUGUGUUCCUCUGCUCUGAGUGUGUGUGCACACAGGUGUGCAUGUGUGUGUGCCUGAUUGUGUGUGUGUGAGAGAAUGUGUGUGUGCAUGUGUGUGAGAAUGUGCGUGUGCAUGUGAGUGUGUGUGUGAUGAAGAAGGUUGGGCAGGGGCUUAGAAGCAGCCCUGGCCUUCACUCCACAAAGCAGAGGGUCCUGGAGCUGAAGCCAGUCUAAAAGCCGCAGGUCCUCCCUGUGCUCUGGGCCUCAUUCAGCCCUGGGGACAAGCCCAGUGGAGAGUAGCUCUUAUUCUUCACUUUAGGAAUUGUGAAACAGCCACAGAGAGAUUAAACAGCUCACCCAAAGUCACAAAGCUAGAUUACAGACAGGCAGCUUGGCAGCUCAAAGCCCAAGACCUUAACCACCAGGUUAUGCUGUGGUGGUGGGGUUAGCCCUUGUCACCCACUCUAACCCUCCCUCCUCGCCUGCCCCCUGCUUGGUGUCCCUUGGCACCUUAACCGUUGGUGCUCUUUAAACAGACUGAACUUUCAGUAUUUGCUAUUCUGCCCCCUCCUCGCCUCUCCCCACUGUCACACACAAUGUCAGCCCUACAGAGGUGGGCGUUUGUCCUGUUCUCUCUGUCCCCAGUGUCCUGUGGCACAGUGAGGACUCACAAAUGUGUGUAGAAGGGAGGGACUCCGUGGAUGAAUGAACAGGGUCAUGCAGCCUCAGCACACAGGGCUUCCUGCGUCCCGGUCCCGAGCAGGGGCUGGUGUAACGGGCAGGAGGCUGAGUCCCUUGGGGGCUGCAGGUACCACCCCCACUCCUUCCCGCCCAGCUCUCAGUCUCCCUCUCUGGGUGGGAUGCUGGUGUCUGAGCUGCUGCUGGCGGGGCUUGCUGGGGACUCCCGAGCUGGCCCAGGUGUUCUGGAAGCAACCCCUGUGGCCCUUCCCCCAACGCCUCCCCCACUGUCCUGUUCUGCUCUCCCAGGAUGGCCUCCAGGCUGGGAGGGGGCUGUGACCUCUUGGCGCACACUGGCCCCAAACAGGGCCCAGAGAAGCCGCUGACACCUGCUCCUUUGCCAAGUCUCACCCUCUCUGGUUUCCAUCCUGCCCCAGGGCCCCCAGCUCACCCCACCCUGCCCCUACCAGGCCCUCUGGUGCCCCCGCCCGUCACUAGGUGGCGCCAAGUGCCCUGAGACGGCAGGAAGUUGCCCCAGAAGGGCUCAGGGCUGGGGGUGGAGAGGCCGGUCCCUACAUUCAGGCUCCGACUGGACCUCCUGUCCCCAUGUCCCCUUCCUUGAAUGGCGUGGCAGCCCCUAAGAGAGCUGUGCUAAAGGGUGGUCAUACAUCCCUGACAUGUCCUUGCAAGCC
This 3246-nucleotide long non-coding RNA is filed under the name Homo sapiens (human). RNAcentral describes it as "HSALNT0001646". Lineage: Eukaryota; Metazoa; Chordata; Mammalia; Primates; Hominidae. The record is from RNAcentral.